Long non-coding RNA from Nothoprocta perdicaria, 244 nucleotides. RefSeq lists it as uncharacterized. NCBI's taxonomy places the organism in Eukaryota, Metazoa, Chordata, Aves, Tinamiformes, Tinamidae. The record is from RefSeq and is a predicted model, not a curated record. The transcript is spliced from 2 exons.
UAAGUCUCUCGGCAACAGCAGCCAUCUCUGGAGUGCUUGAGGCUAGCACUGGAUCAAAAACCUUACAAUUAAAGACGACUUCUGGCUCUGAAGUUCUGGGAAAUACUCAAGGAAGAUGAAGUGAGCUUUGCAGCACUUCUGGUGUCUAUUGUGAAUAUGCUUUGCCUGAGUUAAAACGAAAAAGUUCUGAACAGUAAUAUAGUCUAAGCUUAACAAGGGUGUAAAAGAUGCUUUGAAAUUUGUG